Molecule: long non-coding RNA, 2975 nt
Filed under: Hordeum vulgare
Lineage: Eukaryota; Viridiplantae; Streptophyta; Magnoliopsida; Poales; Poaceae
Description: long non-coding RNA (HVUL_LNC012334)
Source: RNAcentral
UGGGUUGGGUGUGAGGGGCGCACCAGCCCACCCAGGGGCUGGUUCCCUCUCACACUUGGCCCAUGUAGCCUCCUGGGGCUGGUGGCCUCUCCCGAUGGGCCUCCGAAACCCUUCGGUGGUCCCGACACUUUGCCGGUGGUGCCCGAAACAUUUCCGGCGUCCAAACUCAUCCAUCUUAUAUAUCAAUCUUUACCUCCGGACCAUUCCGGAGCUCCUCGUGACGUUUGGGAUCUCAUCUGGGACUCCAAACAACCUUCGGUAACAUCCAGUAUGGGUAGAGAAAGCGGUUGUGUCGAUCACCAAUGGACAAUGGUAGGCGUGACACAAAGUCAAAUGAACGGCCACACUGUGAAAUAAGAAUAUUGUCUUCUCUCUUACUCAUUUCAUUGACUAAGUGACAAAGUAGGGAAAUCUACUCUCAUUGUAAACAAUAACAAACAACUUGAAAAAUGUAAUUUUGAAGAGUCUAAUAGAAGGAGACGGACAACAAUGUAAUUUAACAAGGUCACACUGAAUAUUUUGGGCAGCCGACACCACUACAGUGAGCAUUGUGCGAAUUAUGUCCAACAAAAAAAUAAGACUGAACUGCUACAUGCACUUGUGUGUGACCUAACUCAGCAUUGAUAUGACUUUUCACAUGGUUAAGGCCUGAAAAUGAGAAUCAAUAACUGAAGAGGUUCUUAGUUGGGAUAGUUCAUCCCUGAAAAGGUUGUAACCCCUCUUCAUUGCUUUACUACCUAAAUCAUUUUUUAUUAGAUCUCCCAACUCUAUACAUGCAUUAGUUACCUCGCACUUUGUGAUUAUGGAGAGAUUAACAAGAUAAUGUCGGUGUAUAGUGUACUCUUGGGAGUCCUUGGCAUCCAUGGGCGCCCCAAAAAAGCUGCAUAUAUUAAAGAAAAAUGAUGCGAGCAAAACUAAAAUGAUAACAUCAAUUAGAUAAUAUACAUGGACAAACUAUAUCAAUAAAAACAAAGAAUCUAUGAGUAAAGAAUAAUGUGGAAUGCUGCUAGGGGAACGUGGAACAAAGAAGUUCCGCAAGCCUCUUCAGUGUAUUCCUUGAAAAGUAAUACGAAACAACUAAUAUAAACAUAUAGUGAAAGCCAAGGAAGCAAAGCCAUGAAAAGAAGCAUGGUCAGCCUGUCCGGACACUGGUGGUGAAGAAGGUAUCCCCCAUGGACCGUGCUUCAUCCUGGUAUCUUAUACUCCAGUCAACAUCAUAUAAAAUCACAGUUGGCAAAUGUAGUAAACAUACCAAUUUCUUUCAAAAUAGAAAUUCCCUUUCAUGGUGUACAUUUGAAACUAGAUUUAGAAGUAGGCAUACACCGACUAACUUCACCUCUUGAGUUUUGAAAUAUAUUAAAUGUUGUACAAACAGAACCCAUGAGAUUAAACAUUUGCAAAUUUUUCUUGCACCAAAAUUGCACUUACCAAGUCCCCAUAGCAUCACCCUCCAAGGUAACAAAAAAGUAAUUGAUAUGUUAGCACACAACCACAAAAUUUACAAAACUGAAAAUAAUGCACAACUUAACAAGUUGGCCUCAUUAGCAGAUAAUCUUCAUCCAAAAUAACACCAACUUCAUUUAUCUUAUACCGGUGAUGCUGGAGCUAAGAGGCUGAAUUCGUCAAGGCCGUUGGAAUAGAAAUCCUUGCUCUUGACCGAUCUUCAUGGAGAAUACAAUUAUGAUUACUGGCAGGAUGAUUUUGUUCCUUGUAGGUUGCAGUAACAUCUUUACAUAUCUCCCUAAAGGAACAUAUUUAAUGGGAAUAAUUGAGCAGAAAUAUACAAUCCUAUAUACACUACACUAAGAAGGACGAGCAGUUAGUAUUUGGUUCAUCUAAUCCAUUUUGACGUACUAAAUCCAAUGGUCUUGAGAACCUGGCAACCCGUGCAAGUGUACCAUAUGCCCAUAUGUGCAAGCUCCAACUCGUUGAGAAGGUAUUAGUAUAAUGAGGAAGCAGUGUUAGGGCCUGUUCGGAAGCCCUCCGCUCCGUAACCCCACUCCCGGAGUUGGUGGAGCAGCACUUAAAAAUCGUGAAGCCGGGAAAAGGAUGCUCCACAAAUCCUCAGAUUUCACGGAGUUGGAGUAUCGCCGAACAGCUCCUUAGUAUUGUGGAAAGUUUAAAAGUACCUAGGAAAACUGAAAGAAAAUUAUUCAAACGCACUUCAACUCGUGUCGUCGACAUGUCCACAAAAACUGUAGCAAAGUUCCUCGUGCUAGGACAGAUGCAGUAUCUAGCCUCAUGUCUUCUUUCAAGGAAGUUAUAUGACAAAUACUUAAAUAAUUGGAAAUUCACGCACCACAACUAUUGCAUAGAAUCCAAGAUCUGUCGGCAAAAUAAGCAAAUACAGCUACUGGAAAUCUUGUUAAAACAAAAAAAAAACGCACUUAUACAAACAAUUGAACAUAUGCUCAAAUAGAAGUGUUCGAUUCAGAAAUUCCUUGCGCGUUCAUGGGAUCGAUGUGGCUCCCAACUCGGACAUGGAUACAUGUAGGUGUAUGUUCUCAUCAGGACUUGGGGGGAUCAGAUCAGAUUAGUUUCGUCUACUCCAUCCAGCGCAAGAAUUUCUAGAUUUACUUCUUGUGGAACUUGUGAUCAGCUCAGAUCAAUUGAUCGACCAUGGUUGUCGUCCUCGAUGAGGCGUACCUGAGUUCGAUGGCGGAGGUCCCGGAGCUAUUGAUGGCGGUCCACGAGGCACUGGCGGCGCCGGACAUGGCGAUCCAUGUCCCGAACAGGCAUCCACGACCGGGGCCGAGGGUCCCCUCCUGUUGGCCACGACCGAGGAUCGUGACGGAGGGAGGUUGUAGAGCAGAGGGACGCCAUUCACGGGAGGGAGGGAAAUGAGUGGGGGUGUGGCCGAGCGGAUAGGGAUCCUGGAGGGGUUCGAUCAGUCCUAGCCAAACGGGCCGGGCCGGCCUACGUGCCCAGCCUUCCGGCCCAGUCACGACACGGAAGCUAUACGGACCGGCUCGUGG